AACGUAGGAGGCGAGCGUUAUCCGGAGUUACUGGGCGUAAAGCGCGUGUAGGCGGCGAUGAAGGUCUGAUGUGAAAGCUCCCAGGCUAAACCGGGAGAGGUCAUUGGAAACCGCAUGGCUAGAGGACGGUAGAGGGGCAUGGAAUUCCGGGUGUAGUGGUGAAAUGCGUAGAUAUCCGGAGGAACACCAGAGGCGAAGGC
This 200-nucleotide ribosomal RNA is filed under the name uncultured bacterium. RNAcentral describes it as "partial 16S ribosomal RNA". It matches the Rfam family "Bacterial small subunit ribosomal RNA", at positions 524 to 722 of the family's 1533-position model. The record is from RNAcentral.